This is a non-coding RNA of Podarcis lilfordi (Lilford's wall lizard), 77 nucleotides long. NCBI's taxonomy places the organism in Eukaryota, Metazoa, Chordata, Lepidosauria, Squamata, Lacertidae. The record is from the annotation of a GenBank genome assembly.
UGCUUGAAGGGAUAGCUCAGUUGGUAGAGCAAGAGAUUCUAAAUCUCAGUUGUGGGUUUGAGCCCCACGUUGGGCAA